AUGGAGAGGAUGGCGUCCUCCUAUUUCAAGGAGAUCUUCACCAAGGAUCGUACCUUGGUUGCAGAUGAGGUUCUGAACUGCAUUGCACCGAAAGUAACCGUCGAGAUGAAUGAGGCCCUCUGCAAGGCGUUUUCUGAGCAGGAAAUCUCGGAUGCCCUAUUCCAGAUUGGUCCCUUGAAGGCCCCUGGGUGUGAUGGCUUUCCUACACGUUUUUAUCAACGGAAUUGGGCGGUGCUCAAACCAGAGAUUAUAGCGGCAGUUCAAGAGUUUUUCAGCACAGGGAUUAUGCCGGAGGGUGUUAAUGACACUUCUAUUGUGUUAAUCCCCAAAGUUCCUCACCCCAAGGAGCUAAAGGAUUUCCGGCCAAUAAGUUUAUGUAAUGUGGUAUACAAGAUUGUGUCUAAGUGCAUGGUGAAUAGGCUGCGGCCUAUGCUUACUGAACUUAUCUCAGAAAACCAAAGCGCCUUUAUCCCAGGGAGACUUAUAUCUGAUAAUUCUAUCAUUGCCUUCGAGUGUAUACACGAUAUUCAAUCGGUGAAGGAGAACUCCCCGGCUUUGUGUGCUUAUAAACUGGACCUCUUGAAGGCCUACGAUCGUGUGGACUGGGAUUUUCUUCAAAAGGCCUUGACAAAGUGGGGUUUCUCAGACAUCUGGGUCUCGAGAGUGAUGGCUUGUGUUACGUCUGUCAGAUACUCAGUGAAGUUUAAUGGCAGGUUACUGGAAUCAUUUUCCCCCUCGAGGGGCUUGCGGCAAGGUGACCCCCUGUCCCUCUUUCUGUUCUUAUUUGUGGCUGAUGCCCUUUCUGCCUUGAUCAGUAAAUCUAUGCGGGAAGAGGGCUUGCAAGGGGUGAAUAUUUGUCGCGGGGCUCCUGUAAUUUCUCAUCUUCUCUUCGCGGAUGAUUCGCUGUUAUUUUUUCAUGCAAACUAA
Molecule: ribosomal RNA, 927 nt
Filed under: Triticum aestivum (bread wheat)
Lineage: Eukaryota; Viridiplantae; Streptophyta; Magnoliopsida; Poales; Poaceae
Description: partial small subunit ribosomal RNA
Source: RNAcentral